RNAcentral lists this ribosomal RNA (856 nucleotides) under uncultured Pseudomonadales bacterium. Its description in RNAcentral is "bacterial SSU rRNA". It matches the Rfam family "Bacterial small subunit ribosomal RNA", at positions 28 to 880 of the family's 1533-position model. The record is from RNAcentral. Lineage: Bacteria; Pseudomonadati; Pseudomonadota; Gammaproteobacteria; Pseudomonadales.
AAUGAACGCUGGCGGCAGGCCUAACACAUGCAAGUCGAGCGGAUGAAGGGAGCUUGCUCCUGGAUUCAGCGGCGGACGGGUGAGUAAUGCCUAGGAAUCUGCCUGGUAGUGGGGGAUAACGUCCGGAAACGGGCGCUAAUACCGCAUACGUCCUGAGGGAGAAAGUGGGGGAUCUUCGGACCUCACGCUAUCAGAUGAGCCUAGGUCGGAUUAGCUAGUUGGUGGGGUAAAGGCCUACCAAGGCGACGAUCCGUAACUGGUCUGAGAGGAUGAUCAGUCACACUGGAACUGAGACACGGUCCAGACUCCUACGGGAGGCAGCAGUGGGGAAUAUUGGACAAUGGGCGAAAGCCUGAUCCAGCCAUGCCGCGUGUGUGAAGAAGGUCUUCGGAUUGUAAAGCACUUUAAGUUGGGAGGAAGGGCAGUAAGUUAAUACCUUGCUGUUUUGACGUUACCAACAGAAUAAGCACCGGCUAACUUCGUGCCAGCAGCCGCGGUAAUACGAAGGGUGCAAGCGUUAAUCGGAAUUACUGGGCGUAAAGCGCGCGUAGGUGGUUCAGCAAGUUGGAUGUGAAAUCCCCGGGCUCAACCUGGGAACUGCAUCCAAAACUACUGAGCUAGAGUACGGUAGAGGGUGGUGGAAUUUCCUGUGUAGCGGUGAAAUGCGUAGAUAUAGGAAGGAACACCAGUGGCGAAGGCGACCACCUGGACUGAUACUGACACUGAGGUGCGAAAGCGUGGGGAGCAAACAGGAUUAGAUACCCUGGUAGUCCACGCCGUAAACGAUGUCGACUAGCCGUUGGGAUCCUUGAGAUCUUAGUGGCGCAGCUAACGCGAUAAUUCGACGCCUGGGGAG